AAUUAUCGUAAACUUUUUGCUCAUUAUUAGAAUAACGAUCUUUUAAUGAGAAGCUCCGACUAACUUCGUGCCAGCAGUCGCGGUAAAACGGGGGGAGCUAGCGUUACUCGUAAUAAUUGGGCGUAAAGGGUACGUAGGCGGUUUUGAUUGAUAUGUGAUUUUAAAGAGAACGGGUUCAACCUUUCGAAAACACAUCUGAUUAUAAAACUAGAGUUUAGUGGAGGAUUGUUGAACUGCUAGUUUAAAGUUAAAAUUUGUUAGAUUAGUCGGGCAACCUGCGGUGUAAACUACUUUCCAUAGUAAAACUGACGUUCAUGUACAAAAGUAUGGGGAUUAAAUAGGAUUAGAGACCCUAGUAGUCCAUACCCUGACCUAUGAGUGUUAAAUGGGAGAUAAAAUUAUUAACAUCUUCGUGUUUCAGCUAACGCGGAAACACUCCGCCUG
RNAcentral lists this ribosomal RNA (444 nucleotides) under uncultured bacterium. Its description in RNAcentral is "bacterial SSU rRNA". It matches the Rfam family "Bacterial small subunit ribosomal RNA", at positions 418 to 875 of the family's 1533-position model. The record is from RNAcentral.